ACCCAAGGGGGAGGUGCUAGCGAGGCUGUCUUCAGCUCCUGAGCCAUAACACAUUCCACCUGAGAUUCAGAGUUCAGACUACAGCAGAGACACUUCCGUAAUGUCAAGUCGUGUGACAGAUGGCAGUGGAUCAGACUCCUGCAGCAAGCUAGACAGAUUCAUAGAAUGGCUGAUGCAGAAGCUCAGUUACAUCAGCGUGACAACUGGCCAUGACGAGUACAUGAAGGAGAUGGGAGAGAGGAAGCAGAGGAACGGGGAUUUCAACCGCAAGAGAUUAGUGAAACAUGAACCAGCCAUUGAAGCCACUUAAAAUAAUAAUAUUAUUUCCUACAGCUAAUACUGCAGUGUAUGUA
Molecule: long non-coding RNA, 353 nt
Organism: Mauremys reevesii (Reeves's turtle)
Lineage: Eukaryota; Metazoa; Chordata; Testudines; Geoemydidae
Exons: 4
Source: RefSeq, a predicted model, not a curated record